Molecule: long non-coding RNA, 2867 nt
Filed under: Coffea arabica (coffee)
Lineage: Eukaryota; Viridiplantae; Streptophyta; Magnoliopsida; Gentianales; Rubiaceae
Description: long non-coding RNA (CARA_LNC002650)
Source: RNAcentral
CUUAUGUAUCAAGCUUGCACUACCAAAUCCAUCCAUGAACCAAUUAGUACGAACACUUUGAAUUUGGGCAACUUUAUCGAGCUUGCACCAUCAACAUCCCUAAUUCGCCUGUUGCACUGCCUUGGUGGCAAGAAAUCAGAAAUUAGGGCUUCAAAACUUGGGUGAAAGCUGGAGUUUAGAGCUUGAAGCUUGGGGAAAACAAGAAGUUAGGGAUUGAAGGCAUAGUUUGAGGUAAUUUCAAUAUUUUGUGUCCGAUUUUGCAGUGCAUGUGUACAUAUUUUCAUGGUUAUGGCUAGUUGCACCUUCACUGUUUCUUGUCAAAUUUAGCUUUUUGGCUCAAUCUUGUUAGUCUCUGAUUUAAGCAUCAACAAGUUUUGAAUCCCUUUUGUUCUGUUCUUAUAGAUUUGUUGGAUUUUUAUGGGGAAAUUGUCCUUUUAAGUGACAAGUUUUGUUUUUCUUUUCUGAAAUCAUUAGCUGGUUUUACACGACUUUAUCCCGGUUAGAGCAGCAAAUACAUAGUUUCAACAUGGAUAUGGAAAUAGUUUCCAAUUAUGUUCUACAAAAAAUAUGUCCAUGUGUUGUAGAUGUAGAGCAAGUACUAAGUUGUGUAUAACUUGUAGUUUUCUUCUACUUUAGAUCCAUAUGAGAGUAUGAAAUAUUUAGUUUAUAGACAUUAAUGUGGGUUAUGGUGUGAUAUUUUCUUCGUUCUUCACAAAUGUCACAAGUAUGAGAGCUUCCAGUCUCAGUGCCUCUCAAACUCACCAUUCCCCAAUAAUAAAGAAAAUUAAGAUAAAAUCACCAACAGAGCUGGCCAGCCAACGAUGGCUAUGGCCGAGUGCUUUGCUCAUCCGAUGUUUAACAUGCGGUUUGGGCUUGGUACAGCUUUGGUGAUGCAAGAAGCGAAUGUCUAUCCAGACGCAUAUGCCCUCCAUUUCCAUGUUAGGUUUAUUUUCUUGCUUUUGAGCUUGAUAGGAUCCAUUUUGGUGGUAACUUGGCACCGAUUACGUGUUCUAAGAUUUGGGGGUUCUGCCUUGUUGGGCUUUACGUUAUUUUCAUGAUACUGAGCUUGAUCAUUGCAAUGUUCUGGGCAUGAUUCUGAUGAUGGUGAAGUAUCUAAGCUGCUGUACAUACCAUCUGUAGAACCGGCUAGAUGUGUCAAAAAGAACUCACUUACAGGACAUGUUCUCAUGAAGAAAAAGGAGGAUCGAGCAAGAAUUGAGAGACUUACAUUUGAUCAUUUUUGAAGAAUUACGCCUAACCAAAGAUGAGUACGAAGAAUUACAGAACCGUGGGUUCCUUUUCCUGUGAAGAGAAACAGCUUUUGAUUUUAUGUUUCCUUACUAGUAACUUCUGGUAGUCACCUUCCAUUCUUGCAAGAAUCACAGGAAAACCUUUGAUUUUAUCGAAAUACCAUACCUUAUUAGCUCCACGUCUGUAAUCCAAAGGUACCCGAGAAGUAUAGUAGCCACCUUCUAGUUCUAUUUGCCUUUCUUGUGACUUGUUUCCUUUCUGCUCCUAUUUGCCUUUCCAGUGACUUGUUUCCUUUCUCCCCUCCCUCAACUCUGUCCAUUUGAGAACUUUUGCACAAGGCUUUGGUGCAAGUAUUUGAAUUUGCAACGUUAAUCUGUGUUAAGGUGCUCAAUAUUUGUUAGUAAUUAAUCUCAUUUUGUUUCAGUAGAUGGUCUCUGUCUGUUCCAAAAUUAGAAAUUGGAGAAAUGGUUCUGCAUUUCAUUCGUUUUCUCUUCUUUUCCUGUCUAUUUAUAUGAAUAAGAAAGUCAUUUCAUGUGUACGGAUUUCUCUUCUGUUUUCUAGGAGGCAUAUAUGCAGUAAAUGAAACUGUUUGUAUGGGAUUUGUUAAGGCAUGGCUAAGAGAUUUUAAGCAAGUUUCACAGAGAUAAUAAGAAUAGUAAUUAAGAAUUCAAGUUAGAUUCUGGUUGUAGUUUCAAUAUGUGUCACCAUUGAUGUUUGCAGCAAUUAUCUCAUCUUUUUUUGUUCCUGGGACAGAGAGACUGCUCUCGAAGUUGUGAGAUUGCUGGCACAAAAGACCAAAGAAAUUGGAUUUGAGUUUCUUAAGCAUGUGAAAGAGCAGGAACUGGUAGCAAGCUUGUUGUUGGUGGCUCGUGAAAAGGUUAUGUCUCCCCCACUCCAUUUUCUCUGAGAAUCUAGUGAUACUGUACCACAGUACAUGGACUUAUUCCAAACAAAGUUUUCCUUGCAGCUUAACAUGACAGAAUUUGGUAUAAGAAGUAAAAGGGAAUUGAGAUGAAUUUGAUGCACUUCGGUGAUAACAUCAUUCCUAUUAGAAAGGUGAGGAUAUAAAUUCUUUGCAUUUCCAUUCUCUAUUGCAACUACUGUCUUAUUAAAAUUACAUAGUUUUCUAGAAAUCUGGUUUAGAUACCUUGGCAUGUAGAUGGUAUGAUUCUUUUACCACUUAUCAUGGGUGACUUUGUUUAACUUUUGUUUUGUAUGACUAUUCAUUCAAAUUCAAUGGUGUACAUUUGUAAUGGCAUAUUUUUUGAUUGAAUCUACUCUAAUGCAUGCUACUUUUCUUUCAUUGCAGUACAGUGUUGUUAAAUGCUCAUGAGGAAAUGAACAAUAGCUUGGGCUUUGGAUAUGCUCAUGAGGAUGGCUGCAUUUUGACAUAGAUUGCUGUUUUAGUCUAUAUUUUUGUUAUAGAGAUCUAAUACUCUGUUUUUUGGACUAGCCUAUAUUUUUGUUUAGAGAUCUAAGUACUCUGUUUUUUGGAUGGAUAAUGGUAAUUACUAACUGAGUUGAAAUGGGCUCAAUACUUUAGUUUUUUGGAUACAGACUAGUUUCAAGACAAAGCACAUGCAACUUCACUAAGCCUUUUGUCAAAUUGAAAGUUC